AGAGUUUGAUCCUGGCUCAGAUUGAACGCUGGCGGAAUGCUUUACACAUGCAAGUCGAACGAUGAACCCUAGCUUGCUAGGGGGAUUAGUGGCGAACGGGUGAGUAAUAUAUCGGAACGUGCCUUGUAAUGGGGGAUAACUAGUCGAAAGAUUAGCUAAUACCGCAUACGCCCUGAGGGGGAAAGUAGGGGAUCUUCGGGCCUUACGUUAUAAGAGCGGCCGAUAUCUGAUUAGCUAGUUGGUGGGGUAAUGGCCUACCAAGGCAUCGAUCAGUAGCUGGUCUGAGAGGACGACCAGCCACACUGGAACUGAGACACGGUCCAGACUCCUACGGGAGGCAGCAGUGGGGAAUUUUGGACAAUGGGCGAAAGCCUGAUCCAGCCAUUCCGCGUGAGUGAAGAAGGCCUUCGGGUUGUAAAGCUCUUUCGCAAGGGAAGAAAACUUACACAAUAACACUGUGUGAGGAUGACGGUACCUUGAUAAGAAGCACCGGCUAACUACGUGCCAGCAGCCGCGGUAAUACGUAGGGUGCGAGCGUUAAUCGGAAUUACUGGGCGUAAAGCGUGCGCAGGCGGUUUGGCAAGUCAGAUGUGAAAUCCCCGAGCUCAACUUGGGAACUGCGUUUGAAACUGCCAGACUAGAAUAUGUCAGAGGGGGGUAGAAUUCCACGUGUAGCAGUGAAAUGCGUAGAGAUGUGGAGGAAUACCAAUGGCGAAGGCAGCCCCCUGGGAUAAUAUUGACGCUCAUGCACGAAAGCGUGGGGAGCAACAGGAUUAGAUACCCUGGUAGUCCACGCCCUAAACGAUGUCUACUAGUUGUUGGUGGAGUAAAAUCCAUGAGUAACGCAGCUAACGCGUGAAGUAGACCGCCUGGGGAGUACGGUCCGCAAGAUUAAAACUCAAAGGAAUUGACGG
RNAcentral lists this ribosomal RNA (914 nucleotides) under uncultured bacterium. RNAcentral describes it as "bacterial SSU rRNA". It matches the Rfam family "Bacterial small subunit ribosomal RNA", at positions 8 to 916 of the family's 1533-position model. The record is from RNAcentral.